RNAcentral lists this ribosomal RNA (354 nucleotides) under uncultured bacterium. RNAcentral describes it as "partial 16S ribosomal RNA". It matches the Rfam family "Bacterial small subunit ribosomal RNA", at positions 338 to 709 of the family's 1533-position model. The record is from RNAcentral.
CCUACGGGGGGCAGCAGUAGGGAAUAUUGCUCAAUGGGGGAAACCCUGAAGCAGCAACGCCGCGUGGAGGAUGAAGGUUUUCGGAUUGUAAACUCCUUUUGUUAGAGAAGAUAAUGACGGUAUCUAACGAAUAAGCACUUGCUAACUCCGUGCCAGCAGCCGCGGUAAUACGGAGGGUGCAAGCGUUACUGGGAAUAACUGGGCGUAAAGUGCGCGUAGGCGGGAUAGCAAGUCAGAUGUGAAAUCCUAGGGCUUAACCAUAGAACUGCAUUUGAAACUGUUAUUCUAGAGUAUGGGAGAGGUAAGUGGAAUUCUUGGUGUAGGAGUAAAAUCCGUAGAGAUCAAGAGGAAUAC